GAUGAACGCUAGCUACAGGCUUAACACAUGCAAGUCGAGGGGAAACGAUAGAGAAAGCUUGCUUUUUCUAGGCGUCGACCGGCGCACGGGUGAGUAACGCGUAUCCAACCUGCCCAUCACUUGGGGAUAACCUUGCGAAAGUAAGACUAAUACCCAAUGAUAUCUCUAGAAGACAUCUGAAAGAGAUUAAAGAUUUAUCGGUGAUGGAUGGGGAUGCGUCUGAUUAGCUUGUUGGCGGGGUAACGGCCCACCUAGCCGACGAUGGAUAGGGGUUCUGAGAGGAAGGUCCCCCACAUUGGAACUGAGACACGGUCCAAACUCCUACGGGAGGCAGCAGUGGGGAAUAUUGGGGCAAUGGGGCGCAAGCCUGACCCAGCAACGCCGCGUGGAGGAAGACGGCCCUACGGGUUGUAAACUCCUUUUACCUCGGGAAUAACGGGCGCUACGCGUAGCGCUGUGCAUGUACCGGGAGAAUAAGCAUCGGCUAAUUCCGUG
This 495-nucleotide ribosomal RNA is filed under the name uncultured bacterium. Its description in RNAcentral is "bacterial SSU rRNA". It matches the Rfam family "Bacterial small subunit ribosomal RNA", at positions 28 to 507 of the family's 1533-position model. The record is from RNAcentral.